GACGAACGCUGGCGGCGUGCUUAACACAUGCAAGUCGAACGGACGAGUGAGAUAAGUUUACUUAACUCACAAGUUAGUGGCGGACGGGUGAGUAACACGUGGAUAAUCUACCUGCAACACCGGGAUAACGCUGUGAAAACGGUGCUAAUACCGGAUACGUUCCCUUGUGCGCAUGUAUGAGGGAAGAAAGCUCAGGCGGUUGCAGAUGAGUCCGCGGCUGAUUAGCUAGUUGGUGAGGUAAAGGCUCACCAAGGCGAUGAUCAGUAGCCGGCCUGAGAGGGUGAACGGCCACACUGGGACUGAGACACGGCCCAGACUCCUACGGGAGGCAGCAGUGGGGAAUCUUCCGCAAUGGGCGCAAGCCUGAUGCAGCGACGCCGCGUGAGGGAUGACGGCCUUCGGGUUGUAAACCUCUUUCAGCAGGGAAGAAGCGAAAGUGACGGUACCUGCAGAAGAAGCACCGGCUAACUACGUG
RNAcentral lists this ribosomal RNA (475 nucleotides) under uncultured bacterium. RNAcentral's name for it is "bacterial SSU rRNA". It matches the Rfam family "Bacterial small subunit ribosomal RNA", at positions 28 to 507 of the family's 1533-position model. The record is from RNAcentral.